Chrysemys picta bellii (western painted turtle) is the source of this 3126-nucleotide long non-coding RNA. RefSeq lists it as uncharacterized. Lineage: Eukaryota; Metazoa; Chordata; Testudines; Emydidae. The record is from RefSeq and is a predicted model, not a curated record.
GCAGGCGGGUCAGGGACGGGGCUGCGGUUUGCCGGGUGGGAGCUGCUGCGGACACUAGGGGCGCCCACGCCGCGUGGCGCCUGCAGGAUAACGUGGCGUGGGCCCAGCACUCCCAAGAGGCCUGGUUGCGUGGGGCUGUCCCGCUCUGACCCCCAAUAGCCAAGCCCCUGCCCCAUGCCUCCCCAUCGGCCUCCACACAGGGGGUUGCAGCGUCACUCGCUCAAAUUUGGCAUAGCUGUGUCCUGCCCCCUCCCGCACCCCCGGUCGGGGAGGCUGGGCCAAACCUGAGCAACACCGUGCCCCAGGGCCAGCUUGCAACGCGCGUAGGUCCAGCCGGGCCCAUGGGGCAGGAGCCACCACAGAGGGGCACGCUGUAAAAGGCAUCUGCUUGAGAACAUCUCUGGAGAAGGCUGAGGGUCUGCAACCUAGUUGCUGAAGAUGGUAGUUGGCACAGAUGAUUUGAAUGCCGCUGAGAUUGAAUUGAAUUGUUAAUUAUACAUUCUUCCGGCUCUCCCGGGCCAUCGCCACCAGCCCUAUUGUCUUUGCCUUCCAUUUCAUCAGCAAGAGUUGGCUCCAUGCCUCUGAGCAGCAUUCUUGCGGGAGGGGACAAUGGAUGCAGAGCAGUUAGUGGCUGGCCUCUUGAUGAGUUACCACGCUGAUAUCCAUGCUAUUCCAGCAGCAGUCUUUCAGAUGUGGCAAGCUUGGAAGCCACCUACCUACCGACACUUCUGCCUCUGAUUGCCCCGUGUGCUCUGCCAUAUGACGACGGUGUAUAGAAAGAGUCGCUUUCUUUUAGCACUGAACAAAGAACUUAAACAGAAGAAUAAGGAAAACAGAAUUAUCCCUACCUUACCUUCUCUCUCUGCUACACCAGAGAGCAUCUGCCUAUAAUUUCCCCUAGUACCCCUCCUGCCUGGUUUCUUGCUUUAGUUUUAAAGAAACAGUACACACAUCCUCACCACAUUCUUGCCUGUCAUUUAUUUCCUUUGUUCUCUGUCUUUUCACAGCCACAUAUUCAAUGUCUAGAAGUCCCAUUAGUCCAAAGCUACAGUCAGUGGCCAGUAGAGGAAAAGAUGAUACAGGGGGUAUAUGGCCAGAAUCUCCCGCUCUUUUGGCUGGGCUUGAGGGUCCCUUACUCACAGCUGAAUCUGUGCCUCUCAACUCAGGCCAUGCACAAUCCUUCUAGCAUAAGUUGUUUCCGGGGUAGGGAAUAGGCUAUAAAGCCAUUUCCCUCUAGAUCAAUGCUUUUCAACCUUUUUUUAUUUGUGGACCCCUAAACAAUUUUGAAUGGAGGUACAUACACCUUUGGAAAUCUUAGACAUAGUCUGUGGACCCCACCUUUCCCCUCCCCCUGAGGUCUGUAGACCAGAGGUUGAAAACAACUGUUCUGUGAUAACGACAACCUUUCGGAGACCCCUUAGACAUAGUCUAUGGCCUCCAACCACAGGUUGAAAUCCACUGCUUUAGAUUGUUAGUUCAAAAACAGCCUAGCAAUUAGUAUCAGCAAGUCAUUAUCAGCUGGAGGCGAUUGAGUGACCUACAUGAAAUGAAUUAGUGAUCUCAGUCCAGUUCUUGGUGGACAAGCUGUGAUGGAUUUGGAGCUGCCUGUAAUAAUGUAUGAAUUGUAUACGUUUGUCGGACUGUUGUAGCUGUGUUGGUCCCAGGAUAUUGGGAGACAAAGUGGGGGAGGUCGUAGCUUUUAUUGGACCAACAUCCGUUGGUGAAACAGACAAGCUUUUAAGCUACACAGAGCUCUUCCUCGGGUCAAGUCUGACUGUUGUAAGAAGGGGUUAUAGUGUGAAUACAAGGGGUUAAUUCAAGAAGAGGUUGGCUGCACAUAUGCAGGAAAGAGGACGAUGGCUUUAGAUAGCCACCCAUUUCCCUCUCUCCCUCCCCCCCACAUUGCUAGAGCCAGCCAUUUUGAAGUGUCACCUUUGACACCCUGCUGAGCUCAGUGGACCAGUUCAUCAAGGGUGUGGGCAAGGGGUCCCUGAUUGUAGGAUCCAAGCCCCGGAAAAUUGGGACAAAGGACUGUUUGGGGUAAAAAGUUCUCAAUCAGGAAGGGGAUGGUUGCUGAUGACGAGUGGUUCUCAAACAGAAACCUGGGAAAAGUUUAGCCUACCUAAGACUCCAGGUAAGAGAGCUGUGUGAAGAUCUUUAGUUGCUUUAAAAAUCCUUUCCCCUUAUGUUGUGCUGUGUUUCUACAGUUAAGAUUAAACAAUACUUCGUUUUGAGAGUGCUGUUUUGGGUCUCUGUAUUCACUGUUGGUCACAGCUCCUAAGAGGAAGAACCAGAGGCGCCCAAGUCCAGUCACGUGUUGAGUAAUCCUGAUUGGUACAUGCGUUACAGUAGUUAAGGACCCAAUCUAGGAGCAGGAGGAUCAUGGGAUUUCACCCUAAGAGCGAUGAAAGCACAAGGCCAGAAACCUGAAGGGGUGCACUGAGACUGUAGAAGUGCAGCUAGCUCUGUAACCGUGAGACAAGCAUCUACAUAAGGAAAAAUACUGUUCCCUCUUCUUCCAAUAUUAUUGUCCCUUGUGGUGGCAGAUGUCUGGGACUUGCUGUUUGGCUUCCCAGUCCUGGAACAGAGGUUGACACAAACAACAUGCAGGCAAUACCUUCUUUCAGGAGUCUCUGCCCAACACCAAUGCCGAGGGAGCAGCUCUGCCUCAAGAACUAACUCUAACCAGAGCCCAAGGCAGAGAGCAAAUUCCACUGUUGCUUGCACAAGCUCUACCUCCAAGGACCACUGCCUCUACAGAGACCCUUGAAUAACUUCAAGCUAACAACAACCAAGCAUGUCUUCCCAGGACUGAACAUUUGCUUGCAUACUUAGAAAAAGAACUUGGAAGACUAUGUGUAACAGCACCACAUGACACCUACGAUAACAAUAUUGCCAUAACUGGCAGAGAGAGGUCAGAGAUGACUGAAUGGGCCUGGAGACUGAACCCUCUCACUCCUAGGACGGGGCAUGUUACCAGGGCUGUAGAGGGGAAGCUUGCACUGUUAGUGGCCAUCCUGUACCCUGCAGAUGAGAUCCCUGACUGGUGCAAAUCGAUACAGCUUCACUGAAGUCAGUGGAAGUUUGCUGAUUUAUACCAUUAGGGGAUCUGACCUAUUUCUUAGA